RNAcentral lists this ribosomal RNA (373 nucleotides) under uncultured bacterium. Its description in RNAcentral is "bacterial SSU rRNA". It matches the Rfam family "Bacterial small subunit ribosomal RNA", at positions 521 to 896 of the family's 1533-position model. The record is from RNAcentral.
UAAUACGUAGGUGGCAAGCGUUGUCCGGAUUUAUUGGGUUUAAAGGGUGCGUAGGCGGCCUUAUAAGUCAGUGCUGAAAUACUCUAGCUUAACUAGAGGGGUGGCAUUGAUACUGCAAGGCUUGAGUACAGUCGAGGUAGGCGGAAUUGACGGUGUAGCGGUGAAAUGCUUAGAUAUCGUCAAGAACACCGAUAGUGUAGACAGCUUACUAGGCUGUAACUGACGCUGAGGCACGAAAGUGUGGGGAUCAAACAGGAUUAGAUACCCUGGUAGUCCACACUGUAAACGUUGAUUACUCGAUGUUGGCGAUACACAGUCAGCGUCUUAGCGCAAGCGAUAAGUAAUCCACCUGGGGAGUACGCCGGCAACGGUG